Molecule: long non-coding RNA, 201 nt
Organism: Octopus sinensis (East Asian common octopus)
Lineage: Eukaryota; Metazoa; Mollusca; Cephalopoda; Octopoda; Octopodidae
Exons: 3
Source: RefSeq, a predicted model, not a curated record
CAUUCAUUAAUCAUACAUUCCCUAAUCUUAUGAAUAACUGCAUUGUUUCUUUCCAGAUAAACUGAUAUCUGAUUCUCCCAAGAAGACAUCAACAGCACAUAUGACAUCAUCAUCACUGCAAUACUGGUUCUCAGCCAAGUGUUUUCUCAUGUUAGCAAACAGAUGAUAGUCAGACGGUGCCAAUGCAGGAAAAAAUGGAGG